RNAcentral lists this unclassified non-coding RNA (244 nucleotides) under plant metagenome. Its description in RNAcentral is "partial contains small subunit ribosomal RNA, internal transcribed spacer 1, and 5.8S ribosomal RNA". The record is from RNAcentral.
UCUCCGUUGGUGAACCAGCGGAGGGAUCAUUACCGAGUUUACAACUCCCAAACCCAAUGUGAACCAUACCAAACUGUUGCCUCGGCGGGGUCACGCCCCGGGUGCGUCGCAGCCCCGGAACCAGGCGCCCGCCGGAGGGACCAACCAAACUCUUUCUGUAGUCCCCUCGCGGACGUUAUUUUCACAGCUUUGAGCAAAAAUUCAAAAUGAAUCAAAACUUUCAACAACGGAUCUCUUGGUUCUG